CAAAUGAGUUUUCAGCAAGGUUUUGAGAACCAGACUGGUCAUCAAACUGCUCUAGUCACUGGUUUACUGGUCCAACCAGUCCAUUCGUGGUUCAACCGAAAAAAUUUUUUAGAAUAAAAUAAUAAAUAAAUUAUAGAACAGCUCUCAUCAACACAAUAAAAAACAAUCAAUAAAUCAUCAACACAAUAAAAAUUA
Arachis ipaensis is the source of this 195-nucleotide non-coding RNA. NCBI's taxonomy places the organism in Eukaryota, Viridiplantae, Streptophyta, Magnoliopsida, Fabales, Fabaceae. The record is from RefSeq and is a predicted model, not a curated record.